Parcubacteria bacterium C7867-005 is the source of this 72-nucleotide non-coding RNA. NCBI's taxonomy places the organism in Bacteria, Candidatus Parcubacteria. The record is from Rfam.
GGCCCUAUCGUCUAUCGGUUAGGACGAAAGCUUUUCAAGCUUUAAAGCCGGGUUCGACUCCCGGUAGGGUCA